GAAGGAAGGGUUUCAGAUGUGGUGUAGAGGGGUGUUGGUAGAGGAUUCGAAGAAGCAACUUGCUGUACAGAAGGAGCAGGAGAGGCAGACUUACCAGAAGAUUCUUGCAGAGGUGCUGGAGGUCUUGAUUUAGAAGAUUCUCCUAGCUUUGCUUUCUUCGCCUUUGAAGACUUCUCAGAUGGACCUCUUUUGAACUUCACGAAGUCUGGAGCUGAAUCUGGCAGUUCUCUUAACCCGAAGUCAGAGAUGUCCACUCCUU
RNAcentral lists this long non-coding RNA (259 nucleotides) under Lathyrus oleraceus (garden pea). Its description in RNAcentral is "Pisum sativum (pea) long non-coding RNA (PSAT_LNC025448)". Lineage: Eukaryota; Viridiplantae; Streptophyta; Magnoliopsida; Fabales; Fabaceae. The record is from RNAcentral.